RNAcentral lists this ribosomal RNA (441 nucleotides) under uncultured bacterium. Its description in RNAcentral is "partial 16S ribosomal RNA". It matches the Rfam family "Bacterial small subunit ribosomal RNA", at positions 338 to 795 of the family's 1533-position model. The record is from RNAcentral.
CCUACGGGAGGCAGCAGUCGGGAAUAUUGCGCAAUGGAGGAAACUCUGACGCAGUGACGCCGCGUGCAGGAAGAAGGUUUUCGGAUUGUAAACUGCUUUAGAUAGGGAAGAAAAAAGACAGUACCUGUAGUAUAAGAUCCGGCUAACUACGUGCCAGCAGCCGCGGUAAUACGUAGGGAGCAAGCGUUAUCCGGAUUUAUUGGGUGUAAAGGGUGCGUAGACGGAGAAGCAAGUUAGUUGUGAAAUCCCCCGGCUUAACUGAGGAACUGCAACUAAAACUACUUCCCUUGAGUACUGGAGAGGAAAGUGGAAUUCCUAGUGUAGCGGUGAAAUGCGUAGAUAUUAGGAGGAACACCAGUGGCGAAGGCGACUUUCUGGACAGUAACUGACGUUGAGGCACGAAAGUGUGGGGAGCAAACAGGAUUAGAUACCCUUGUAGUC